RNAcentral lists this long non-coding RNA (4590 nucleotides) under Olea europaea subsp. europaea. The record is from RNAcentral. Lineage: Eukaryota; Viridiplantae; Streptophyta; Magnoliopsida; Lamiales; Oleaceae.
GUUGAAUCAAGAUUUUGACAAUAUUAAGUUUGUUUUACCUUAUGUGCAUUUGGUGUAUAUUAAAUUAGCUUUCUACUUAACCAUUUUGAAAAUUGCAGAAUAGCUGUAAAUCUAAUGGCCUAAUUUGUAUUUUGGAAUGGUUCUAAUAGCAAGUAGGUUGAUUUCAAAUGUAGAAAAUUGGCAAUUUGGAAGGGGGCUUCAAAUGUUGGACCGAUGAGGCUUAUUUCUGAUGACAAAAAAUAAAAAAAAACAAAAUGUUCCUUUUGUCAGAAGAAAUCGCAUAUUUGAAUAUGGAAAAAUUGGGUGCAAACAAGUAUCUUUGUAUUGGCUGAGUUCACAAACUGGAGAUACAUGGGUCGUUGUUGGAGUUUAGUUUAUGUCUGUGUCUGAGCAUAGAUUACGUUAGUGUCACAAUGACUGUUGCUCACUUGAAGGUAUUUGUGUCAAAUUUGAAUUGAGAGAGGUGAUAAAUUAGUAGGCAAACUAACACUCCAAAUGGUGAAAGAAUCGCCCCCACUCUAUCUCGAUUGGAUUAAUGAGGGAUUUUUUUAUGGACCAGUCUCUCACACAUUUCCCUCUCUCACACAUUUCCUUCUCUUACAAAGCUUGGCAGCAUUCAACUCUCUCCUAUGUCCUCUAAUUUUCUUCUACUUCAUCCUUCUUCUUCGAACACACUUAACAGCAAUGGACUCUCUUAUUUAUCCUUUUACAAAUUUCGUCCAACCGGGGUAGAAGCAAGUAUUGACAUUAAAAUAUACCCAUUUUCUUAAAAGUCUAUUUACACUUCUAUUACGGCCAAUCCAAUUUUGAAAUCUCUCCGCAACCCUCCAAAAUUGGUCUUCGAAAAUUUUGAGAAUCUGAAAAAAUCGAGACCACCAUUUUCGUGUUGUCUACAAAUUGAAUGUCGAGGCAAUUUGUUUCAACAUAAGUGGCUUUUCGACCGCAAGACCAAGGGACGCGCCGUCGCGGAUAAAGACAUAGGCAACAAAUUCACCGCUGAGGACAUCGUGCAUACCGUUGAUUAGUCGGGUAAUUCUCGAUUACUUUGGAAUCUUUGAGUUUAUUGUUGUUUCUGACACUAAAUAUUGCAUCUUAAUUACAGGAAAAGAGAAACUAUGUUUGUGCUCCUAUUUUUUUGGUAUUUUGAUGGAUUUUGAUUUUAAUGUUGUUAUAUUCAAUGGUGAUGGUUACAAGUCUUGAUUUUGAAUUAAUUAGUAUAAUCUGUGUGCUCGCCUCUAUAAUUAUUACUUAAGAUAUUAGUGGUAGUUAGAAAUCUCAUUAUUAGGUUAGGAUUGGGUAAUUGUGUCAUAUUUUGGCAAAUGAUUUGAUUAGCUUUGUGAAUAAGUGGUUGUGCUUAACAUUUGUAUUGAGUAUUGCUUAACAAAUUGUUGAAAUAUUAACUUUCUGGUCAUGAUAAUGUAAUAUUAAAAUCGUUUUAGGUUAAUUACUGAUGUCAAUAGUUGAAAUGAAUGUUAUUUAUGAAUUUGUUCUUGGAAAAAAAUUUGAUGGAAUUACAAAUUGAAAUAUAUUGGUACUAGUUGGUGUUUAUACGGGAGAGAAACUUUGACUGAUACAUUUAAUGAUUUGGAAUUGAUUUUGAUAAAUAUUGUUUGUUCGGUGAAUCUUCGAACUUCAGAUUGUUUUGUACAUUUUAUGUUUAUGAUAAUUAAAUAUCAACCCUAGCUUCUCUUCGAACUUGUACAUGAGACGUUAAGAAAGCUUUUUUUUUAUGGGACGAAAUUCGGACCGAAUCAUAUCUAACCACAACAUGUGUACUUAAAUCAUUAUGUAAAUCACUAGAUACAUACUUUUGCACACUAGUAGUACCAACGAUUUUGUAAUCAUCACUUUUAUGGUGCAGUUAUGUUUUAGUGUGUGUGAUUUGUGACAUUGCAUUUUACAUUUCCAGUGUCUGAAGUGCUUUUAGAUUCAAGAUUUUGCCAAAGCGAAUAUUAUGUGCCAUUUUAUUAUUGAAUUUAAAAUUAGCAGAUUUUUCCAUAAAACUCGCAUGCAAUAAGCCGUUUGAGACAACAUUUGAAUCAAUAAUAAUUCAGUAUGAUUAACUAAAUUUUGUCGGUAUUCGAUAAACAAUCAUCUAUUUUCUUCAAAAAUUAUAGCACAUCAAUUGCUCUAUUUAUUUCAUUUGGUAAAUGGCACCUUUAGAGUGUCAUCUCCGAACAUAAAUUAUCUCCAAUAACUGUCUGAACAUCCAUAUGUUUUUUAAUACUCUCAAAUGAUGAGCUAUGUCGAUUCGAGACGUGCUUUAGUUUAGGGUGCACGAUUUUGUUUCUUUUCCCUUCAAUUCUUUUAUCUACAUAAAGUCUUAUGCCAAUAUUUAUGUUGGGCUUGAUUGAAUUCUUUCUCAGUUUAUGGUUUUUUCAUUUUGCACUUGUAAAGAUUAUUUGGGCUUAAAGGUUUGAGCUGUGUUUCAUUUGCAUAUCCUUGUGAUUGAACAGAAAGUAUUGUGCAGUAAUAACAUUCUAUUGCUUCAGUAAUAUUUUUUGCAAUCAUGUUUCAUUUUGAAUUGGAGUAUAUUGGUCAUAGGUGGCUCUUGGAGGAGUGGUUCAUUCGUUGUGCUUGCAAUUGUUCUCUUCGAUAGUUAUGUUAUUUUUAUUUUCUCAUUUGUUUUUUUCCCUAUUUGUUAUGAUUCAGUGGCUUUGAUUUUGCCUAAAAAAGAGCAAAGGAAGCUUCUAAUGCUCAAUGAUGAUUCAUACUUUUUUUUUUUUUAUCAUUUCUCAGUCUUUUUAUAUUUCUUUAUCUUUUAUUCUUUUGUGUAUUUUUUCGUUGAUUUUGAAGAUAAAAUGUUCCCUACAAUUUGAGAGUAUAACUGAAACAUGCAGAAAUGAAAAUUUUGAUCAGAAUCUUGUUUUCGGGAAUGGUGUAUUAGUUGAGGGGUGCAUGAUUUUAGCUUGAAAUAGCAAAUUAACGUUAUUGUAUAACAUAUGGAUAACUUCGAUAUCUUAAUUUAAUCCCCUUUGAUGAGCUAACUAUUUUGGUAUAAUACCAAAAUCAUUAUCGUAUAGAUUUUAUUAGUUUAUGAUGUGUUUGUUGGAAGCAUUUUGUAGAUUCUUUCAUGCCUUUUUUCAGUGUGCAACUUGUGUUUCAACUCUCAAUUUGGAAAGUAAUUAACCUAAAAAGUUAAUGGUAAAAUAUUAGUGCUGAAAGGAGUAGUAAACAAUGAAAGUCAGAGCAUGAAUGGCAACCAUGUCUACUUUAGAAUGUCGAAUGCAGAUUGAAAUUGUACAAGCUAGAAACAUAGGUAUACUUAUAUUCUUCCAUAAAAGCAAUCGAAAAUUGCAUGAUUUUUCUAAUCCUGACUAUGGAAUUGUAUUGACACAUUUGAUAUAGCUGAACUGAUCUUUGGCUUAGUAUAAUGCUUCUGACAUAUUUCUAUUGUUCGCAUCUCUCACCCUUGUUUGAUGUCAAUAACGUUCAAGUGAUCAAUUCUAAACGCAGUGCUUCGAACUUUUCGAGUUGAGGUCAUCAUCUGGAGAACAUCCAUAACCACUCCAUUUGGAGCCUCCCAUUUCGAUUUACCAGGUGAGGAUGAUAGUUUCUUCCAUUUCUUUUUGGGUUAGACACAUUUGAUGAACAUACGUUUCAAUUAGUUUUGAACCUAUGCUAGUUAUGGUCAACUAUGCACACACAAGCACGUCCAUUACACGUUUCUUAUCAUGUUUGUCAUAUACCCCGACCCUUUUUGCCCCAAAAAAUUAAUACACCUGUACAGUCAGUUUUAGUGACUCAUGCAACGCAUUGGGUGUGGUUCAAAUGAUACUUCACAUAAGAAUUACACACUCAUGGUGGUAUACAUGUCAAAAUUAUAUUGUUUCUAUAUUCACUUCAGUUGCCCAGCUCACUUUAGCAAGCAGAUAAAAUCAAUCGGCAGUUUGCCUCAGCCAUUCUCGACAGUUGACCUCUCCAGUCAUUUGUGGAGAUUAACUGUCAGUAUUGACAGAUGAACUGUCCAAACCUACGAUUGAUGUCAAUUUUCCACGACAUCUGUACCCUUGCACAUAUCUUCAUUUUGUUUAUCAUCUGUGUCGACAUCUAUACCCUUGCACAUACCUUCAUUUUGUUUACAAGAUCUUAAUUCGAAUGUUUUGUUGCUAUGAAAUUGUCAUUAUUGGUGAUAUUACUCAAUAUUAAGAGAAAUUUGUAGUUGAAUGGAACUUUCACUUAUUUAAUACUCCUCACUUAUCUUUCUAGCUUCAUCACUUUUGAAUGUUAUAUGUUAGACUUUUCAUUGUUCAAGGCUUACAUUUUAUCUUGUUAUCAUACAACGCAGAUAUUGAAAUCAUGUCUAAUACCAUGUUGGAGCCAAUCGAUGUCCCUGUCAAAGAAAGAGCGACGUUGGCAAUGUUUCACUUCGGGUGACUGUGGAAAAUGCAUGGAGGAACGUUUUGUUUUACAUUAUUGUAUAUUUGUUUUUUGGGAAAUGUUGAUUAUGUUCAAAUGACAUUCACUGUCAAAGAAACUGUGUGGAUUUAGUAUGGAAAAUGUUGGUACGGAAACUGUUUCUAGCGUACUUUGUAAGUUUCUUGCUUUUUGAACUCGUUCGACCUAGAGAUUAAAACUGAUAUCCAAUUG